UAUGUAACUCCGCCUAUGUCAUCUUA
This 26-nucleotide unclassified non-coding RNA is filed under the name synthetic construct. The record is from RNAcentral.